GAUGAACGCUAGCUACAGGCUUAACACAUGCAAGUCGAGGGGCAGCAUGGUCUUAGCUUGCUAAGGCCGAUGGCGACCGGCGCACGGGUGAGUAACACGUAUCCAACCUGCCGUCUACUCUUGGACAGCCUUCUGAAAGGAAGAUUAAUACAAGAUGGCAUCAUGAGUCCGCAUGUUCACAUGAUUAAAGGUAUUCCGGUAGACGAUGGGGAUGCGUUCCAUUAGAUAGUAGGCGGGGUAACGGCCCACCUAGUCUUCGAUGGAUAGGGGUUCUGAGAGGAAGGUCCCCCACAUUGGAACUGAGACACGGUCCAAACUCCUACGGGAGGCAGCAGUGAGGAAUAUUGGUCAAUGGGCGAGAGCCUGAACCAGCCAAGUAGCGUGAAGGAUGACUGCCCUAUGGGUUGUAAACUUCUUUUAUAAAGGAAUAAAGUCGGGUAUGCAUACCCGUUUGCAUGUACUUUAUGAAUAAGGAUCGGCUAACUCCGUGCCAGCAGCCGCGGUAAUACGGAGGAUCCGAGCGUUAUCCGGAUUUAUUGGGUUUAAAGGGAGCGUAGAUGGAUGUUUAAGUCAGUUGUGAAAGUUUGCGGCUCAACCGUAAAAUUGCAGUUGAUACUGGGUAUCUUGAGUGCAGUUGAGGCAGGCGGAAUUCGUGGUGUAGCGGUGAAAUGCUUAGAUAUCACGAAGAACUCCGAUUGCGAAGGCAGCCUGCUAAGCUGCAACUGACAUUGAGGCUCGAAAGUGUGGGUAUCAAACAGGAUUAGAUACCCUGGUAGUCCACACGGUAAACGAUGAAUACUCGCUGUUUGCGAUAUACAGCAAGCGGCCAAGCGAAAGCGUUAAGUAUUCCACCUGGGGAGUACGCCGGCAACGGUGAAACUCAAAGGAAUUGACGGGGGCCCGCACAAGCGGAGGAACAUGUGGUUUAAUUCGAUGAUACGCGAGGAACCUUACCCGGGCUUAAAUUGCAGAUGAAUUACGGUGAAAGCCGUAAGCCGCAAGGCAUCUGUGAAGGUGCUGCAUGGUUGUCGUCAGCUCGUGCCGUGAGGUGUCGGCUUAAGUGCCAUAACGAGCGCAACCCUCGUUGUCAGUUACUAACAGGUUCCGCUGAGGACUCUGACAAGACUGCCAUCGUAAGAUGUGAGGAAGGUGGGGAGGACGUCAAAUCAGCACGGCCCUUACGUCCGGGGGUACACACGUGUUACAAUGGGGGGUACAGAGGGCCGCUACCACGCGAGUGGAUGCCAAUCCCAAAAACCUCUCUCAGUUCGGACUGGAGUCUGCAACCCGACUCCACGAAGCUGGAUUCGCUAGUAAUCGCGCAUCAGCCACGGCGCGGUGAAUACAAUCCCGGGCCUUGCACA
This 1364-nucleotide ribosomal RNA is filed under the name uncultured bacterium. Its description in RNAcentral is "bacterial SSU rRNA". It matches the Rfam family "Bacterial small subunit ribosomal RNA", at positions 28 to 1387 of the family's 1533-position model. The record is from RNAcentral.